This 301-nucleotide unclassified non-coding RNA is filed under the name Archaeospora sp. RNAcentral's name for it is "partial contains 5.8S ribosomal RNA and internal transcribed spacer 2". The stretch from base 1 to 71 matches the Rfam family "5.8S ribosomal RNA", at positions 84 to 154 of the family's 154-position model. The record is from RNAcentral. Lineage: Eukaryota; Fungi; Glomeromycota; Glomeromycetes; Archaeosporales; Archaeosporaceae.
GUGAAUCAUCGAAUUUUUGAACGCAUAUUGCACUCUCUGGUAUUCCGGAGAGUAUGCCUAUUUGAGGGUCAUUUAAAAUAAUAUAAAUUUCGAGAUUUUCUUGGAAGCAAAAAUGGGACGGUCCAGCUGUCGUGUGGUGGUCGCCUAAAAUGCAAGACAAGCUCAUUUCUUGGGUUGCGUGUUACUUGCAGUUACCUCGUGACGUCACAAGGAAUCUUCGAGCGUGGUAAGAAUUAUGCAAGAGAUAAACUUCAUUUAUCUCGAACUCAAUAUUAAAUUGAAUCAUGACCUCAAAUUAUGU